CCUACGGGGAGCAGCAGUGGGGAAUAUUGGGCAAUGGGCGCAAGCCUGACCCAGCAACGCCGCGUGAAGGAAGAAGGCUUUCGGGUUGUAAACUUCUUUUCUCAGGGACGAAGCAAGUGACGGUACCUGAGGAAUAAGCCACGGCUAACUACGUGCCAGCAGCCGCGGUAAGACGUAGGUGGCAAGCGUUAUCCGGAUUUACUGGGAGUAAAGGGCGUGUAGGCGGGACUGCAAGUCAGAUGUGAAAACCACGGGCUCAACCUGUGGCCUGCAUUUGAAACGGUAGUUCUUGAGUACUGGAGAGGCAGACGGAAUUCCUAGUGUAGCGGUGAAAUGCGUAGAUAUUAGGAGGAACACCAGUGGCGAAGGCGGUCUGCUGGACAGCAACUGACGCUGAUGCUCGAAAGCGCGGGUAUCGAACAGGAUUAGAUACCCUAGUAGUC
Molecule: ribosomal RNA, 443 nt
Filed under: uncultured bacterium
Lineage: Bacteria
Description: partial 16S ribosomal RNA
Rfam family: Bacterial small subunit ribosomal RNA
Source: RNAcentral